Molecule: transfer RNA, 72 nt
Filed under: Actinomycetes bacterium
Lineage: Bacteria; Bacillati; Actinomycetota; Actinomycetes
Also listed under: 1 other name
Description: tRNA-Arg
Rfam family: tRNA
About the family: Transfer RNA (tRNA) molecules are approximately 80 nucleotides in length. Their secondary structure includes four short double-helical elements and three loops (D, anti-codon, and T loops).
Source: RNAcentral
GCCCUCGUAGCUCAGUGGAUAGAGCAUCGGCCUCCGGAGCCGUGUGCACAGGUUCGAAUCCUGUCGAGGGCG